Molecule: long non-coding RNA, 1501 nt
Filed under: Homo sapiens (human)
Lineage: Eukaryota; Metazoa; Chordata; Mammalia; Primates; Hominidae
Description: HSALNT0248580
Source: RNAcentral
GAGCAUGCUCUCUGCCAGAGCUCGGGACUGGUGCUGACCUGCAGGAUGGAGGAGAGAAGAGAAGACUCAUCAACAGAACAAAUGUUGCUGGAACAUUACUUAUAAUGGCAACAAUUGGAAACAAUCAAAGGAUGUCACUAUAGGGACUUGGGUUAAGAAAAUUAUGACACAUCAAAAGCACAGUGAAGAGAACUUCUGUCAAUCCUGUCAAGCACAUGAAGAUGUGAAGUUUCAACUGGAUUCAUUUCUAUAAAUAAGUUAAGUUCUUCCUAAUUUAUAAGAAAUAACACUUGGACAACUUAAUAGUGUAUUUUCCCAGCCGAUACAAUUUCCAGAAAACCCUGAAGUCAGGAAAACCAAUGUUACUAAUGGCCUUAGGCUACGAGAAGAUCUGGUUAAGAGUAUCCUAAGGGAGGAUCUAAGCCUGUUCAUACUCUACAAGCAAAGAAACAUUAAAAAACAAAACAAAAAACCAAAACUUGAAGAAACGAAGUGACCAGUUCACUACCAUUCAACUAUUAAGGGAUAGAGCCAGGACUCAGUAUCUAGUCAUGUGAUGACAAAGCCCGCACUCUUACUGUACAGCCUCACCUUGGAUAAAUCUCAUUUCAAGACAGGUAAUUUUGAGAAUAUCUUAGGCCCCCCUUCUAUCAAAGAGAGGGAUCGAAUUUAAAAUUUAUCUGGAAUGCCAACUCUGAUUAACUCCCUGGAGAGAGUCCCUGGAGGACUGGUUGAGAAGAACCCUGAGGAUGCAUCAGUGUUCAUCAGGAAAGGGCGCCAACACCCAGCGUGCCCACUCAUGAGCAGGGAGGAGAUGAUGCAUGGGAAUCCACAACUCUAUCUCAAGUUUCCCAGACACACACUAAAGCUCUGCAGAAGAUUUUGGUGCCCCUGAGCUACUUUUACACAGCAAAGAAGACUUCUGAUGUGAUUCCUGGUGGCAGUGCGUAGUAUGCGAUGAUUUCCAUCAGAGUGGCUGGGUUUGUCAAAGCUUUAUUAGAGAUUCCUAUGAUUUGAAGAAAAAGCCAGGGUCCUAUUUUGGCAACUUUUCUGAUAUAAGUAAUAAAAACAAAAUGCCAUGAAUUUAAAUUGUUAGGUUUCUUUUUUACAAAAAGUUUAUACUCAAAAUGUACAAUACCCAAUUACAAGUUGCAUAUGUAUAUAAAAUACCCAAUUAAAAGAUGAAGAAAUAGAAGAAAAUCAACAAAGUCUGUCAACUGAAAUGUUCCUGAAACACCAAGUUUUUGGCCAGGCUCCUAAGACUCCCCACCAGUACAAUACAAACAUUAAAAAUUUUUAAAGCUCAGAAGUAAUUUACUUUUCAGCAGCACCACACGUGAUCAAAACAGGGGGAAGGUUGGAGGAGAAAUAGGCUGUGCCACUAGUUUAUGCGUCUAAACCAAAAUCCAACAACCAUUUCACCUUCCUUGCUAAAGAGAGAAAAGGACCAGGAACUAGCACAGAGUUAACCAUAGGAUUGCUUAUCUGUGAACAAUGAAAU